UAGGAAAAGGAUAUGAGGAAUUUAAGUCUGGAGGUUAAUUAAACUAAAAGAUAUUUUAUUAUAGUUUAUUACCUAUUAUACUUUUUAUUAUUAAUAACAGUAAUAGUAAAAGAGUAAUAGUAUUAUCAUUAUCCCACACAGAAGCCCCCGCCUCCCCCCUAUUUCCAGUAACCUUCUGCAACACAAUCCUCUUUGCUUUUUGCGCUUUUUUCUUUUUUCUUUGCCAUGUACAGUCAAAUGAGACCUGACACCCUUGCUGGAAAAAAGGAAAACAUCACAGAGAUUCUAAUGGUUUCUAUUACAAAUAACAUUAGAAAACAUCAGCUAACCAUUAAAACCAUUACCAUUAUUGGUCCGUAAUGGUGUCUACUAGAUAUAACAUGGCACCAAUAGAAAACAACAAAUUACCAGUAGAGACCCACAGGGACCAUUAUAGUUUCCAUUAAAAUCAGUGCAAUUCCCUUUAUAAGCAUAAAUCCAUCAACAAUUCUAAGAGGGUUUCUAUUGUUGUUGUUGUUUUUUUUUUUUUUUUCCAGCAGGGACAGCAUCCAAAAAUUGAACACACAGAAUAUGUGUGCAGAAUUAGAUAGAAUAUGUGUGGGAGAUGGUGGAUUUUUAUCUGAAACAUCCUGUCUCUAUGGAAUCUUUGUGUACUAUGCUUAACUUUAACUACAUCUACUGUAUAAUUAUUAUGGAACAGCAUGGUGGUGCACUGGGUUGUACAAUGGCAUCACAGCUCCAGGGUCACUGGUUUGACCUUCAGCUCAAGUUACUCUGUGUGUGGAGUUUCAUACAGUGGCAAGAAAAACCCAUUCUUCCUGCAGAACUGCUUUAGCUCUGUCGUAUUCUUUGGAUGUCUCAUGUGUAUGGCUCUUUUCACUUCAUUCCAUAGCAUCUCUAUUGGGAUGAGGUCUGGGCUCUGACUCCGCCCCUCCAAAAGGCGGAUUCUGUUUUUCUGAAGCCAUUCUGUUGUGGACUUGCUCCAGUGUUUUGGGUUGUUGUCCUGUUGCAUCACUCAACUUCUACACAGUUUCAGCUGACGUACAGACAUUCUCACAUUAUCCUGAAGAAUUGUCUGAUAUACUUGGGAAUUCAUCUUCCCCUCAAUGAUUGCAAGCUGGCCAGGCCCUGAUGCAGCAAAGCAGGCCCAAAUCAUGACGUUUCCUCCACCAUACUUUACGGUUGGAAUGAUUUUUUAAUGAUGAUAUGCCGUGCCCUUUCUACGCCAGAUGUAGUGCUGUGUGGUUUUUCCAGAUAGUUCAAUCUUAGUUUCAUCAGUCCACAAAACAUUUAGCCCAUACCGCUGUGUAGUGUCAGUGUGCUCUUUUGCAAACUUCAGGCGUGCAGCUAUGUUCUUUUUAGUAAGCAGUGGCUUCCUUCGUGGUGUCCUGCCGUAGAUACCCUGCUUGUUCAAUGUUUUACGUAUUGUAGACUCAUGAACAGAGAUGUUAGCCAGUUCCAAUGAUGCCUUCAAAUCUUUGGCUGUCAUUCAGGGUUGUUUCUUUACCUCAUUGAUGAGUCUUCGUUGUGCUCUUGGUGUCAUUUUGACUGGGUGCCCACUUCUUGGCAGAGUAGCAACAGUCCCAAAGUGUCUCCAUUUGUAGAAUGUUUGCCUAACUGUUUCUAAAGUCUUUGAAAUCACUUUGUAACCCUUGCCAGCUUUAUGUAAAUCAACAAUUCUUGAUCGUCGAUCUUCUGAAAGCUCUUUUUGGCGAGGCAUGGCUCACAUAAGCGUGUGCCAUUUGUGCAGCGCAAAGGUUUUUAUCAGUCAAAGUAGCUGUAGUCCACACCUCCACACUCAUUUUCGUAACGAGACUCCAGGUGUGCUAAAACCUGACUCCAAUUAGCUUUUUUCAGGUCAUUAACUCAAGGGUUCACAUACUUUUUCCACAAGCACUAUGAGUUUUUUUGGUUGUUCUCAAUAGAGACAUGAGGGAUCAGAAUUUAUUUUGUGUUUUUAUUUUAGGCACAUUAUAUCUGUCAAUACCCUUGACUUAGAUGAAGAUCAGAUCACACUUUAUAACAAAUUUAUGCAGAAAACCAUGAAAUUCCAAAAGGUUCACAUACUUUUUCUUGCCACUGUAUGCUCUAUAUUCUCACUAUUUCCAUGUUGGCUUCCUCCAGGUUCUCCGGUUUCCUCGUAUUUCCAAAACACAUGCCUGUAUGUGGACUGGCUACUCUAAAUUGUCUAUAUUUGUGAAAUUGGGAAAGCAUGGUGCCCUGUCAUAAAUAGAUGUCCCAAUCAUGGUGUAUUUUCGCUUCAUGCGCAGCAUUCCCAGGAUAGGUUACCUGACCAGGAUAAAGCACUUAAUUAAGACGAGUGAAUAAAUUAGUAAAAUUAUUACUUAAAAAGAACAGUCAAAAAUCAAACUGGUCUUUCUGACAUUUUCCCACAAUGCUGGCCAGUCCAGGCACUUAGCAUUAAGUAUGCAGUCUGCAUGUGUGUGCAGUGAGUGUAUAAAACUGCACUAACUUUAUUACAAGACCAUUAAAAUCCUCCCGCUCUGUAAGAGUAUCUACUGAACUGCUGCAGCAAGAAGGCAAGAAAAGUGAAGCUCCUCUAAUGAGGGAAGAUUCCACUUUCAAAAGAUCCUCGAGUCCCUGAUCCAUAAUUACAGGCUUGUUUGUUGGCAAAAACACAUAAUUAUACGAAUUUGAUCAGUGCUAAUUAAACCAUAGGGAAAUAACCCAAAGACAGCUUUGUUGGGUGGCGGAAGGGUAUUACAGGUUUUAAUUAAAGGUGCACCGAUAUGUCCCUCAUACAGUAGAUACAUUACCUGAGAGUUUUAGCUUUGUAUAUGAUGUCCACUUAAUUUACACAAUGGAUAAAGAGUGGUGAAA
Ictalurus punctatus (channel catfish) is the source of this 2841-nucleotide long non-coding RNA. Lineage: Eukaryota; Metazoa; Chordata; Actinopteri; Siluriformes; Ictaluridae. The record is from Ensembl.